AUACAGAAGUUAAGAAAAUGACAGAGACCUUCAAAGAUAAACUAGGCCAAGGAGGCUAUGGAGGUGUGUUUAAAGGCAAGUUACCUGAUGGUCGUCUCGUGGCAGUCAAGGUCUUGAAGGAAUCAAAAAGUAAUGGGGAAGAAUUUGUUAAUGAGGUAGCAAGCAUUAGUAGGACUUCUCAUGUUAACAUUGUCAGUCUUUUAGGAUUUUGCUAUGAUGGUCCCAAAUGCGCUCUAAUUUAUGACUUCAUGCCUAAUGGAUCUCUUGAAAAGUAUAUAUAUAAACAAAAUCCCUCGAGAACUAAUCAUGAAUUGG
RNAcentral lists this unclassified non-coding RNA (315 nucleotides) under Hevea brasiliensis (rubber tree). Lineage: Eukaryota; Viridiplantae; Streptophyta; Magnoliopsida; Malpighiales; Euphorbiaceae. The record is from RNAcentral.